UGGGGAAUAUUGCACAAUGGGCGCAAGCCUGAUGCAGCAACGCCGCGUGGGAGAUGAAGGCCUUUGGGUUGUAAAUCCCUUUCGGUUGGGAAAUAGGGUCAUAUGGCUAAUAUCCAUGUGAUUUGAUGGUACCAAAAGAAGAAGCACCGGCUAACUUCGUGCCAGCAGCCGCGGUAAUACGAAGGGUGCAAGCGUUGUUCGGAAUGACUGGGCGUAAAGGGUUCGUAGGCGGGAAUAUAAGUUAAGUGUGAAAUCCCUGGGCUUAACCCAGGACGUGCACUUAAAACUGUGUUUCUUGAGUACUGGAGGGGGUUGGGGAAUUGCUGGUGUAGGAGUGACAUCCGUAGAGAUCAGCAGGAACACCGGAGGCGAAGGCGCCAACCUGGACAGAUACUGACGC
Molecule: ribosomal RNA, 400 nt
Filed under: uncultured bacterium
Lineage: Bacteria
Description: bacterial SSU rRNA
Rfam family: Bacterial small subunit ribosomal RNA
Source: RNAcentral